RNAcentral lists this unclassified non-coding RNA (334 nucleotides) under soil metagenome. Its description in RNAcentral is "partial contains 5.8S ribosomal RNA, internal transcribed spacer 2, and large subunit ribosomal RNA". The stretch from base 1 to 120 matches the Rfam family "5.8S ribosomal RNA", at positions 35 to 154 of the family's 154-position model. The record is from RNAcentral.
GAUGAAGAACGCAGCGAAAUGCGAUAAGUAAUGUGAAUUGCAGAAUUCAGUGAAUCAUCGAAUCUUUGAACGCACAUUGCGCCCGCCAGUAUUCUGGCGGGCAUGCCUGUUCGAGCGUCAUUUCAACCAUCAAGCCCCCGGGCUUGUGUUGGGGACCUGCGGCUGCCGCAGGCCCUGAAAACCAGUGGCGGGCUCGCUAGUCACUCCGAGCGUAGUAGUUACAUCUCGCUCAGGGCGUGCUGCGGGUUCCGGCCGUUAAAAGCCUUUUACCCCAAGGUUGACCUCGGAUCAGGUAGGAAGACCCGCUGAACUUAAGCAUAUCAAUAAGCGGGGA